This is a long non-coding RNA of Polypterus senegalus (gray bichir), 1891 nucleotides long. RefSeq lists it as uncharacterized. Lineage: Eukaryota; Metazoa; Chordata; Cladistia; Polypteriformes; Polypteridae. The transcript is spliced from 7 exons. The record is from RefSeq and is a predicted model, not a curated record.
CAUUUAUGUUCGUCUGUCGUAGAGGCCACAUGCAGUGCAGGAGCCACUGUGUCCCUUGAAGUGAAUUUUUAUCUUUGAGCACAACGCAGCAUGAUGAUGCCACCAGCAUUCUUCAUAGUUUUAUGGUGUUCUCAAGGCAAUAGACUUACAAUUUUAGGGCUACUCUGCACACCUGGCUUAUGUGCCUCCCUUUUCCACCAGUUACUCUGCUGUGACUCCUGCGGCCACACGGAUGUCCUUCCCCAGUAUGGCACAUAAUAAUGCUGGGAUAUCAGUGUGACGGCGCUCAUGUAUUAAUGUGAAUGACAGGCCUCCUCACCCACAUCAAAACUAUUAACAACAUUUCUACCCGUGGCGUGCCUCAGUACCACCACCACAGCCAUUUGAUCCCGAAGCCUUCUCAACUUCCCUGCAAAAAAGUCAUCUCUGAUAAAGGAGCACUGGAAUAAUCGGGUAGAAGGGUCCUUUCAUCAGAUUGGCCAGCCCACCACUUACUCUGUGAGGUCUCCUGGACUCUGAACAAAUCUAUAUCCUCAUAUGUGAUAGUUCUGUAAUCAGUGAGUGGCAUAUAUGUUGCCUCUGACCUCGGAGGAGCGAUGUGAGGCAGAGCCAGGCAGUAUAUAUGAGCAGUUAUUUUAUGUCUAAUAAGUGACUAGAAAUGGGACACUAAAUUUCAUGGACAGGGAAAUCUGUCCCGACGAGACUAAAACACAACUGGCCGCACCCCUGAUGAUUUACGGUUUAUUAAAGAAGCCGCACCGUGGAUCCGUUUGUCAUUGCACUUAAAGACAGAGGGACCACUGGAUGAGAACCUGAACCAAAUGGCACAAGACAAGUCAUUCACAUCAGCAAUGGAGACAAGCCACCUACUUGAAUCACAACCACGCAGGCCUCACCACAUGAAACAUGUGAUAUGCCUCACAAUCAGAAUAUAAAACAUAUAAGAAAAAGCCAGGCAACAGACAACAAAGAGUUUGUUAAAAAUAUGUAAUCAGAUUCCUGGUGUCAAAUGAAAAAAACAAAGAACCUGUACCAGAAAGCAAAGUAUGUAGAAGGAGAACAAUACCUUCUAUAAGCAAAUCAUCAGCUGUUCAGCAUGGUGUGGGUUACCUUAUGGCUUAGGUGGGUAUAACUGCCAAUGGAACUGGCAUCCUUGUGUUCACUGAUGCCACUGCUGAGCACAGCAGCACAAUAAAUGACUUCAAUGUUAAUUUAUCUUUUGAACCCCUAACACUGAGAAAGAUUUUACAAAAAGGACUGUAGCUUCCAGUUCAAUUGACAUUAAAAUAGCUGUUGUCACUUUGCCAUUGUUUAAGUUCAAAUCCAGUUUUCUGGUGUGCAUAGCAUAAACAACAAAAACUGAGGGACUGUCCAAAUAUUUUGUCUAGAUGGAACACGGUAGUAGGUGUUAUGUAUGGUACAUUUUCCUUUUUAAUUAUUUAUUUAUUUAUUUUUAAACCAGACCACAAUGUCACUAAAGAAUAUGGUAUAUGAUAUACACAUGCCUGGCAUACACUCUGAUGUCGCACAUCUAGGUAGCUGAUGUUUUGCAGAUACUGUAAGUUUCUGUUUCCUGUUGUCAUAAGGCCUGCACUAAACUCCUGUUAAAGCGAUCCAGUGUGAUUCUGAUGUAAAUAAAUAUUUUGGUUUAUGUCCAGACUUUACAAUUUAUUGGUGGUAUUCCUUGUACCAAGAUUGCUUGAUUAUUUUGAUUACUGCUAUCACUAGCAUUCUAAAUGGAACCUUUUUACCUAAAUCCAUGUUCCAGAUGUGCAUUUUUUAGGUUUUACUCAGUAUAGUUUUGCUUAGUGCAAUACCACCAAAGUAUUUUAUAAAAUUCAAAUUGAAUACUUUUAACUUUUGUACAAUGGCUUGGUAUAGCUUAGGUUAC